AUGCCUUAAACUAAUGAGUAAGGAAAAUAACAAGUUAGGGUGAUGCCUAACUUCACUAUUAUGACCAAUUUUUGGGGGGUAUAGGUUACUCCUUGGAGGAUCCACCUACUUUGUGGGAUCUCUAGGUGCUGUGAUCUGCCCU
Molecule: non-coding RNA, 142 nt
Organism: Pelobates cultripes (western spadefoot toad)
Lineage: Eukaryota; Metazoa; Chordata; Amphibia; Anura; Pelobatidae
Source: the annotation of a GenBank genome assembly